GUUGCAUGGCUGUCGUCAGCUCGUGUCGUGAGAUGUUCGGUUAAGUCCGCUAACGAGCGCAACCCUCGCCGUAUGUUACAAGUGUCAUACGGGACUGCCGGUAAAAAGCCGGAGGAAGGUGAGGAUGAUGUCAAGUCAGCAUGACCUUUAUAUCCAGGGCUACACACACGCUACAAUGGUCUGUACAAUUGGUUGCCAAGCCGCGAGGCGGAGCCAAUCCGUAAAGCAGGCCUCAGUUCAGAUUGCAGUCUGCAACUCGACUGCAUGAAGCCGGAGUUGCUAGUAACCGCAGGUCAGCAAUACUGCGGUGAAUACGUUCCCGGGUCUU
RNAcentral lists this ribosomal RNA (328 nucleotides) under uncultured Anaerolineaceae bacterium. RNAcentral describes it as "bacterial SSU rRNA". It matches the Rfam family "Bacterial small subunit ribosomal RNA", at positions 1040 to 1382 of the family's 1533-position model. The record is from RNAcentral. Lineage: Bacteria; Bacillati; Chloroflexota; Anaerolineae; Anaerolineales; Anaerolineaceae.